CCUACGGGAGGCAGCAGUGAGGAAUAUUGGUCAAUGGGCGCGAGCCUGAACCAGCCAAGUCGCGUGAGGGAAGACGGUCCUAUGGAUUGUAAACCUCUUUUGUCGGGGAGCAAAAGACGCCACGCGUGGCGUUCCGAGAGUACCCGAAGAAAAAGCAUCGGCUAACUCCGUGCCAGCAGCCGCGGUAAUACGGAGGAUGCGAGCGUUAACCGGAGUUAUUGGGGUUAAAGGGUGCGUAGGCGGAAGAUCAAGUCAGCGUUAAAAUGGAGAGGCUCAACCUCUUCGAGACGUUGAAACUGGUUUUGUUGAGUGAGCGAGAAGUAUGCGGAAUGCGUGGUGUAGCGGUGAAAUGCUUAGAUAUCACGAAGAACCCCGAUUGCGAAGGCAGCUUACUAAACUGUGACUGACAUUGAUGCUCGAAAGUGUGGGUAUCAAACAGGAUGAGAUACCCCUGUAGUC
This 459-nucleotide ribosomal RNA is filed under the name uncultured bacterium. RNAcentral's name for it is "partial 16S ribosomal RNA". It matches the Rfam family "Bacterial small subunit ribosomal RNA", at positions 338 to 795 of the family's 1533-position model. The record is from RNAcentral.